Molecule: long non-coding RNA, 1027 nt
Organism: Zalophus californianus (California sea lion)
Lineage: Eukaryota; Metazoa; Chordata; Mammalia; Carnivora; Otariidae
Exons: 3
Source: RefSeq, a predicted model, not a curated record
GAAGCCGGACCCUUGCAGAUGAGUGUUCGGGCAGGUGACCCUUUAGGCGAGCCCUAGGCCAUCUCGUGCUGGCCAGGUCACCUUUCUGAGUUUCCUCACCUCCAACAGGAGGUACUUUUUUGGGAAGAAGACAUCUGGGCAUCCAAAUCCAAAAGAAAAUCAAGAUCAAUACAUUCCUACCUGGAGCUUCGAGGAAACCAACCUUCCCUGAACUUGGCAACUGCUCUGAGAAUUGAACUUCUGAGGAUGUGCUGGAGUGUACCCUACAUGACUCUCCUUUAAUAAACAACCCUCUCCACCCUCAUAGCUAUCAGAAAGCCUGUAUGGAAAGAAUGAACUUUCAUGAAAAUCAAUUGAUGAAGACUUAGUCCUUGGAGUGGAUUGUGAGUAUUUGCAGUAGCAGAACUAAAAAUAGUCUGUAAAUAAUCAGAGGUCCUGGAAUAGGAUCAGCAAGGACCCAGAAGAAGUGGGGAAAGCAAAAUAAGCCAAAGAAGAUUGAAAAAGAACUCUGUAACCUGGCAAAGAAGAAAUCUCAGUUGGGCCAGUCACCCACUCUUGUAAUCCCGCUGAUGAAGAGCUCCUGGGCGGUCCUCCAGCAGCACAAUUUUACACUUACUGUACACACCCAUCCUCAAGUUGAUGAACAGGAGAAUGGAUUUAAUUCUUAUUUCAGAACAUGGGUUCUAUCAACACAUUAUUUUGCCACUAAUACAAUGAGGGUGACGUUUGGGAGAGGAAUUCUAUGUUGUAAUAGUAGACUAGGUAAUUCAGGGCACCCAGAAAUUCUAGUGGAAACAGUUUUUAAAAUCUUGAAGGCAUCAAAAAGCCAACAAAAUAGUAAAGAACCACUAGGGCCAGGGUACAGGGGAGGAUGAAAGUCCAAGGUGGUAAGCCCGGGUCUUGUGUUGCCUUUUCCACCGCCCUGCCCCGCUUUCUGCAAGGGUAUCUAAAAGGCAGAGAAGCUGAGCCGUGUGGAGCUAAAAGUAUGGAACCCAGGGCUUGCCAAGAGGGGAGAGGAAAUAUUAAA